AAUACGUUCCCGGACCUUGCACACACCGCCCGUCAAGCCAUGGAAGCCGGGUGUACCUAAAGUCGGUAACCGCAAGGAGCUGCCUAGGGUAAAAUCGGGUGACUGGGGCU
RNAcentral lists this ribosomal RNA (110 nucleotides) under uncultured bacterium. RNAcentral describes it as "partial 16S ribosomal RNA". It matches the Rfam family "Bacterial small subunit ribosomal RNA", at positions 1365 to 1482 of the family's 1533-position model. The record is from RNAcentral.